GCAAUCACCACUUUUGACCAGACUGCAACAGCUCUCCCACCAGCAGGCAUUGGUACCAGGACAUUUCAUUCUGGAACACUACAGAAACAGCCUCCCACACAAUAAAUCAUGGGAGAACCGAAUGCAAGGUCUCUGAGGCAAUUUCCCUGGACAGCAACAAUCUCUCUGUUCCAUUUGGAAAACAUGGAAAAACUUCACAAGUCAAGGAAAAAAACAAGUAGGAACAGACAGAACAUAUGCUGUUAAAUGUGGGAGGGUGGAGAGAGUACUUCCUUUGGCCCACAUGAGGAGGAAAGAGCUGAUUAGCAGGGCCGAUGGAAUACAGGACUCGUCCAGCUUGGUACAUGCAGAUAAGAUCUGACACUGCAAGACCUCAGACUACCUGGCUGAGGGAGAACAGUCAGCCAGCAGGAAGCACCAAGUGAUGGGAAAGGAAAAUUUGGCAAUGGUCAGGGAAGAUUCUACUUGCAAAAGAAAAAGAAAAGUCUCCUUUGGAUCGUGACAGCCAGGUCAUGGCUGAUUUAGAGACAGCAGCAAAAAAGCCAUCUGAAGGCCAGUCCAACCAACUCUGCAGACCUCAGUGCUGUGACUUGGCACAGCAAGCCCAUGCCAUAGGUAUACAAGAUUUACAACAAACUGGAAAUACCCAGCAUCUGCUCAGCAAUAACAAGAUCAGCAGCCAUAUGUGAUUUGAAGCCAAGGCCUAAAGAAGCCCCACCUUUCUCCCCCCAAACAGGUUUUACGAACUCUGUUUCCAAAGGAGAGGGAUUUUACAAUGACAACAACAGCAGGAAUGAGGAUAUAACUAAGCAAAGAGAUUGGACAACUGAGAAUAUAAUUCGCAAUAAAAGAGCUUAUGAGCUACUUCCAAUGGCAUUUACAGAAUCUCCGCUCAGGGAUUCUUACACUGAUGUCAAUUCACAGAUCCUGCACUACAGACAAACUCCCCUUAAAAAGUUUGCAUAUACAGAUGUUUUAAAAUACUUAAUGACAUAGU
This is a long non-coding RNA of Lepidothrix coronata (blue-crowned manakin), 997 nucleotides long. RefSeq lists it as uncharacterized. The record is from RefSeq and is a predicted model, not a curated record. The transcript is spliced from 6 exons. NCBI's taxonomy places the organism in Eukaryota, Metazoa, Chordata, Aves, Passeriformes, Pipridae.